Molecule: long non-coding RNA, 342 nt
Organism: Myotis myotis
Lineage: Eukaryota; Metazoa; Chordata; Mammalia; Chiroptera; Vespertilionidae
Exons: 3
Source: RefSeq, a predicted model, not a curated record
CAAGGAGCAGGAGAUUUGUUCCUGGGACGUGCUCUCCCGGAGGGCCUACUAGCACGUCCAGGUGCUGGGCAGGAUUCAGAGGAUCAACGAACAACGCCGUCACUCAAUUGUGAUUCUGAAAAGAAAAUUUCCUGACCACCAUCCCCAGAUUUUGCCUGAUGUCCCUGGUCUGGUGCAUUUAAAAAAUGUUAACCAGUAGGAGAGGAAUCAAUCAAGUGCAGAAUCAUCACUACACAGGUCUGUCCCUUGCAGUCCCUUGAGCACUAAGUGGAGAAGCUCCUCGCUGCUUGAAACUGCCCUGCCCACGGGCAUCCCUGGAGUGCGAAGCACGCGCUGUUAUCA